This 57-nucleotide transfer RNA is filed under the name Pseudomonadales bacterium. Its description in RNAcentral is "tRNA-Thr". It matches the Rfam family "tRNA", at positions 8 to 62 of the family's 71-position model. From Rfam's summary of the family: Transfer RNA (tRNA) molecules are approximately 80 nucleotides in length. Their secondary structure includes four short double-helical elements and three loops (D, anti-codon, and T loops). Lineage: Bacteria; Pseudomonadati; Pseudomonadota; Gammaproteobacteria; Pseudomonadales. The record is from RNAcentral.
UAGCUCAGCUGGUAGAGCAACUGACUUGUAAUCAGUAGGUCCCGAGUUCGACUCUUG